This 257-nucleotide ribosomal RNA is filed under the name uncultured bacterium. Its description in RNAcentral is "partial 16S ribosomal RNA". It matches the Rfam family "Bacterial small subunit ribosomal RNA", at positions 524 to 776 of the family's 1533-position model. The record is from RNAcentral.
UACGUAGGGGGCUAGCGUUGUCCGGAAUCAUUGGGCGUAAAGCGCGUGUAGGCGGUUCGGUAAGUCCGCUGUGAAAGUCGGGGGGCUCAACCCUCGGAUGCCGGUGGAUACUGUCGGAGCUUGAGUACGGGAAGAGGCGAGUUGGAAUUCCUGGUGUAGCGGUGAAAUGCGCAGAUAUCAGGAGGAACACCAAUUGCGAAGGCAGCUCGCUGGGACGUUACUGACGCUGAGACGCGAAAGCGUGGGGAGCAAACAGG